GGUAGAGUGGCUGAGGCAAAGCGGCGAGCUGUAACCUCGCAGACCGGGGUUGACCCGCUCCACCAGGCC
This 69-nucleotide transfer RNA is filed under the name Lygodactylus tolampyae. Its description in RNAcentral is "tRNA-Tyr". It matches the Rfam family "tRNA". From Rfam's summary of the family: Transfer RNA (tRNA) molecules are approximately 80 nucleotides in length. Their secondary structure includes four short double-helical elements and three loops (D, anti-codon, and T loops). Lineage: Eukaryota; Metazoa; Chordata; Lepidosauria; Squamata; Gekkonidae. The record is from RNAcentral.